CCUCACCUCUGGCGGCCAUGAGACGAACCUAGCAUCCCCCGCCUCUACAGGCUAUGACCCAAUUCUACAUCUCUCUCGCUUUCAUUACCUGCCACAACUUGACUCGGCAUACCUCACCUCUACUGCUGGUCAGGAUCCUACUAGGUAGCGUCCCUUGCCUCUGUAGUCGGCGACAUCCUAACUCAGCAACACUCGCCUUCAUAACUAACACCUCUUAUCUUCACAACUGGCUUGGUCAUGUUUGAGCACAC
This 251-nucleotide long non-coding RNA is filed under the name Elaeis guineensis (African oil palm). RNAcentral describes it as "long non-coding RNA (EGUI_LNC001257)". Lineage: Eukaryota; Viridiplantae; Streptophyta; Magnoliopsida; Arecales; Arecaceae. The record is from RNAcentral.